RNAcentral lists this ribosomal RNA (427 nucleotides) under uncultured bacterium. RNAcentral's name for it is "partial 16S ribosomal RNA". It matches the Rfam family "Bacterial small subunit ribosomal RNA", at positions 354 to 796 of the family's 1533-position model. The record is from RNAcentral.
GUGGGGAAUUUUGGACAAUGGGCGCAAGCCUGAUCCAGCGACGCCGCGUGGAGGACGAAGGCCUUCGGGUUGUAAACUCCUUUUGGAGGGGAAGAAUAAAUUGACGGUACCCUCAGAAAAAGCCACGGCUAACUACGUGCCAGCAGCCGCGGUAAUACGUAGGUGGCGAGCGUUACUCGGAAUUACUAGGCGUAAAGCGUAUGUAGGUGGUUAGAUAAGUCUAUGGUGAAAUUUCCUGGCUUAACUGGGAAGGGACAUAGAUACUAUCUGGCUUGAGUGUGGGAGGGGGAGACGGAAUUCCUGGUGUAGCGGUGAAAUGCGUAGAUAUCUGGAGGAAUACCGAUGGCGAAGGCAGCCAUCUGGCCUAAUACUGACACUGAGGUGCGAAAGCAUGGGGAGCAAACAGGAUUAGAAACCCCAGUAGUCC